RNAcentral lists this unclassified non-coding RNA (225 nucleotides) under Hevea brasiliensis (rubber tree). Lineage: Eukaryota; Viridiplantae; Streptophyta; Magnoliopsida; Malpighiales; Euphorbiaceae. The record is from RNAcentral.
CCUGUCGACGAUCCCGCCGAUCCAGACCAUCAUCGGGGGAUGGAACGGGGUGACGAUUGGAAACUCCCGGCCCCAGGCGAUCAACUCACGGGUAUCGUACAUCGCGGUCGGAAAGACGACGACGGCGAGCAGCACCGGCAACAGAAGCGCAAGCCCAAGAACGGCAAGCGCAGGACCGCGCCUCAGGCCUGAACGAUGCUCACUGGGCAUGACGUUGAUGUGCCU